Molecule: ribosomal RNA, 253 nt
Filed under: uncultured bacterium
Lineage: Bacteria
Description: partial 16S ribosomal RNA
Rfam family: Bacterial small subunit ribosomal RNA
Source: RNAcentral
UACGUAGGGGGCAAGCGUUGUCCGGAUUUAUUGGGUUUAAAGGGUGCGUAGGCGGCCCGUUAAGUCAGUGGUGAAAGCCUCCAGCUCAACUGGAGAACUGCCAUUGAUACUGGCGGGCUUGAGUACAGACGAGGUAGGCGGAAUUGAUUGUGUAGCGGUGAAAUGCAUAGAUACAAUCAAGAACACCGAUUGCGUAGGCAGCUUACUAGGCUGUAACUGACGCUGAGGCACGAAAGCGUGGGGAGCGAACAGG